UACAGAGGUCCCAAGCGUUGUUCGGAUUCACUGGGCGUAAAGGGUGCGUAGGCGGUCGGGUAAGUCUGAUGUGAAAUCUCACAGCUUAACUGUGAAACUGCAUUGGAUACUAUCCGGCUUGAGGAAUGGAGGGGAGACUGGAAUACUUGGUGUAGCAGUGAAAUGCGUAGAUAUCAAGUGGAACACCAGUGGCGAAGGCGAGUCUCUGGACAUUUCCUGACGCUGAGGCACGAAAGCCAGGGGAGCAAACAGG
RNAcentral lists this ribosomal RNA (253 nucleotides) under uncultured bacterium. Its description in RNAcentral is "partial 16S ribosomal RNA". It matches the Rfam family "Bacterial small subunit ribosomal RNA", at positions 524 to 776 of the family's 1533-position model. The record is from RNAcentral.